GUGGGUGUGGCUCAGUGGUAGAGCAUAUGCUUAACAUAUACAAGGUCCUGGGUUCAAUCCUCAGUACCUCCA
RNAcentral lists this transfer RNA (72 nucleotides) under Camelus bactrianus (Bactrian camel). It matches the Rfam family "tRNA". From Rfam's summary of the family: Transfer RNA (tRNA) molecules are approximately 80 nucleotides in length. RNAcentral also lists the same sequence under 2 other names. Lineage: Eukaryota; Metazoa; Chordata; Mammalia; Artiodactyla; Camelidae. The record is from Rfam by way of RNAcentral.